Molecule: long non-coding RNA, 245 nt
Filed under: Elaeis guineensis (African oil palm)
Lineage: Eukaryota; Viridiplantae; Streptophyta; Magnoliopsida; Arecales; Arecaceae
Description: long non-coding RNA (EGUI_LNC038767)
Source: RNAcentral
ACUAGGGAUAGUGAGCAAAUACUAGUCUAAUCUAGGAGAGAACCAUUGGAAGAUCGUAAAAAUCAUCCUUAUGUAUUUGAGAAAUAUUAAGGACCAGUAGCUUGUAUAUGGUGAAACUAACUUGAAACUAGUGGGAUUUAGUGACUCCAGCUUUCAACAGACCAUGAUAUAGUAAGAGUGUGUCCGAUUAUAUUUUUACCCUGAAUGGUGGAGCGAUCUGUUGAAAAACUUUCAAGCAGCACAUU